Non-coding RNA from Cherax quadricarinatus, 384 nucleotides. NCBI's taxonomy places the organism in Eukaryota, Metazoa, Arthropoda, Malacostraca, Decapoda, Parastacidae. The record is from RefSeq and is a predicted model, not a curated record.
CUUCAGGUGACUGUGACAGCCCAAGUUCACCAACUAAUAUAUCAGAUGUUUCAUCACAUAGUGGAGGUUCUGCAUAUUCUCCUGAAGUAUCAUCUGCCUCGCCUCACUCUGGUAAAAGCAUUCGGUCGCUGUCAUCUCGCACUCUACAAGAAUUAGAAAAAAUGUUGCAUGCAAAGAAGAUGGCUUACAAUGCUGCCUGCGCUGGAAAUUUUUCCGAAAAGCAGAGAAAGUUGAGAAAGCAGUGUGUCGAGAUUGAGAAAGAAAUAGCACUGAAGAAAGGGUCCAACUACUACAAGUUUGAUGGUAACCCACCUUCGCCUGCUGAAGAAUCAGCAUUGACCCUGUCAUCUGACCUAGAAAGAGAGAGAAUGCUGGAUGCUGACG